This 1554-nucleotide ribosomal RNA is filed under the name Staphylococcus aureus. Its description in RNAcentral is "16S ribosomal RNA". It matches the Rfam family "Bacterial small subunit ribosomal RNA". The record is from RNAcentral. Lineage: Bacteria; Bacillati; Bacillota; Bacilli; Caryophanales; Staphylococcaceae.
UUUAUGGAGAGUUUGAUCCUGGCUCAGGAUGAACGCUGGCGGCGUGCCUAAUACAUGCAAGUCGAGCGAACGGACGAGAAGCUUGCUUCUCUGAUGUUAGCGGCGGACGGGUGAGUACCACGUGGAUAACCUACCUAUAAGACUGGGAUAACUUCGGGAAACCGGAGCUAAUACCGGAUAAUAUUUUGAACCGCAUGGUUCAAAAGUGAAAGACGGUCUUGCUGUCACUUAUAGAUGGAUCCGCGCUGCAUUAGCUAGUUGGUAAGGUAACGGCUUACCAAGGCAACGAUGCAUAGCCGACCUGAGAGGGUGAUCGGCCACACUGGAACUGAGACACGGUCCAGACUCCUACGGGAGGCAGCAGUAGGGAAUCUUCCGCAAUGGGCGAAAGCCUGACGGAGCAACGCCGCGUGAGUGAUGAAGGUCUUCGGAUCGUAAAACUCUGUUAUUAGGGAAGAACAUAUGUGUAAGUAACUGUGCACAUCUUGACGGUACCUAAUCAGAAAGCCACGGCUAACUACGUGCCAGCAGCCGCGGUAAUACGUAGGUGGCAAGCGUUAUCCGGAAUUAUUGGGCGUAAAGCGCGCGUAGGCGGUUUUUUAAGUCUGAUGUGAAAGCCCACGGCUCAACCGUGGAGGGUCAUUGGAAACUGGAAAACUUGAGUGCAGAAGAGGAAAGUGGAAUUCCAUGUGUAGCGGUGAAAUGCGCAGAGAUAUGGAGGAACACCAGUGGCGAAGGCGACUUUCUGGUCUGUAACUGACGCUGAUGUGCGAAAGCGUGGGGAUCAAACAGGAUUAGAUACCCUGGUAGUCCACGCCGUAAACGAUGAGUGCUAAGUGUUAGGGGGUUUCCGCCCCUUAGUGCUGCAGCUAACGCAUUAAGCACUCCGCCUGGGGAGUACGACCGCAAGGUUGAAACUCAAAGGAAUUGACGGGGACCCGCACAAGCGGUGGAGCAUGUGGUUUAAUUCGAAGCAACGCGAAGAACCUUACCAAAUCUUGACAUCCUUUGACAACUCUAGAGAUAGAGCCUUCCCCUUCGGGGGACAAAGUGACAGGUGGUGCAUGGUUGUCGUCAGCUCGUGUCGUGAGAUGUUGGGUUAAGUCCCGCAACGAGCGCAACCCUUAAGCUUAGUUGCCAUCAUUAAGUUGGGCACUCUAAGUUGACUGCCGGUGACAAACCGGAGGAAGGUGGGGAUGACGUCAAAUCAUCAUGCCCCUUAUGAUUUGGGCUACACACGUGCUACAAUGGACAAUACAAAGGGCAGCGAAACCGCGAGGUCAAGCAAAUCCCAUAAAGUUGUUCUCAGUUCGGAUUGUAGUCUGCAACUCGACUACAUGAAGCUGGAAUCGCUAGUAAUCGUAGAUCAGCAUGCUACGGUGAAUACGUUCCCGGGUCUUGUACACACCGCCCGUCACACCACGAGAGUUUGUAACACCCGAAGCCGGUGGAGUAACCUUUUAGGAGCUAGCCGUCGAAGGUGGGACAAAUGAUUGGGGUGAAGUCGUAACAAGGUAGCCGUAUCGGAAGGUGCGGCUGGAUCACCUCCUUUCU